This 8366-nucleotide long non-coding RNA is filed under the name Lupinus angustifolius (narrow-leaved blue lupine). RNAcentral describes it as "long non-coding RNA (LANG_LNC002505)". The record is from RNAcentral. Lineage: Eukaryota; Viridiplantae; Streptophyta; Magnoliopsida; Fabales; Fabaceae.
UGAAAUUACAUGUCUUAUCUCAAGUCUCAACGACAAAGAGAAACUAAAUAAAUGGAUUUAGUAUGUAGAUAAAAUAUAAUGAAAACGGAGGCUGUUUAAGAUUUCCUUCAAAUCCCACAAGGAAAUUUGUUUCAUCUACAAACAAAGCCCAAAGGUAGAAGCUAUGUUAUUUAAUCGAUUUGAAGUUCAUUCCAUUUGUAUUUGAUAGCAGGAGACUGCAUCAACUUAUUACAAUUUCUCAGGUACCAAAUUCAGUUUUCAACUGUUUUCUCAAUUUUAUGCCGUAUUAUUUUUCAUCUUCCAUUUCUUUAUUAAUUUGUUAUAUUAGGAACCUAGUUUUUUAUUAUUUAGUGAAUGUUUAAAGAAAACCUGAUUGGAUGGGGGGGAUGCAUUUCAUUAUACCAAAAAACGAAAAACCUGAUUGCAGUUUCAUAUAAACAAUUGAGCCAUCCCUUAUUAUGUUGAGAUUAAUAUCUAUAUUACAAUUUCUGUAUACUUUUAUCGUUCAUGUGUUCAUUACUUUUAAAUGGAAGUGUACUGAAAGUGUAAAAAACUUGUACACUAUUAGGGUAGAUAUUAAACCUAUCUUAAUGAUAGGUUACAGAAAAACCAAAAGUGAAGUUCAUGAUGAGCAAAAAAUAGAAUGUUGUCAAACGUGCCAAAUAAAUGGAAGACACAAAAUCAUUGAAUAGAAUGUUGUCAACUACGAGUUGAGUGCUUAAUUCCUACUCGCAAAAAUCAAGACCACAGAAUAGCAUCAUGCCAUCAUUUACAAAAUUGAAUGCCCUCUAGGACAUCACUAAGUCUAGCACCAAUUCCAGAUUUGUCUUCAAAAAACGUUACAUCUCAUACCAUACGAAUAUGUAUUUAAUUAUAUGUCGGACUAAAUAGUUCUGCUUUAGAGAUGAGAAAUUAACUGUUAAGAGUAGAAAGCAUGCCCCCUGACGCAGUUGGAAUCACCACCUCCCACCCAGGCCCAUUAAGGGGAAACGAACUGACCGGAGCUUUGAAGUCUUUGUCAUCCUUUGAAUUGGGGACAACAAGAUCACUGCGAUCCAACACCUUAAUCAGGUCUUCAUCCCUAAUACCUGUUUGUAUCAUCUUGUCUUCAGCUGUUUCUUCAUCCCGAAGCAAUGCCAAGACAUCCUCUUCCUAGAAUCAGACAAAGCACAAACUCCAGAUUAAAAAUAUUGUAAUAUUCUUUUCAAGAGCCAAACUUAGGUAAAUUUUCAGUUCAUAUUUACAAUCAGUUGCAGAUGGUCUAUUCAUGGCAAGCAGAUACUAUUGGAAUACCGAAGCAGGUAGACAACAAUUCCAUUACUAUUAUAGAUACACGCAAUGGGAUGACAGUAAAGACAAAACUACUGGAAAGCACAUGCUGUUGUACAAACCUCCAAUUCGUCGGCACUGACAGGCUUUGCACGUUCUUGAUGAAACUGUCCUUUCCCAAUCACCACAUGCUCAAGCUUCAACUUGUUGAAAGCUCUUUUCAACAUGCGAACCUAUAAACAGAAUGUCAGAUCCAUCUAACAUAAAAGCCAUCAGUUGAUCAGCACAUAUUCAACACCCCAAAAUAAAUUACCAUAAAGUACCUCUAUAGAUUGCGCAGUUGAGAGCCUGUAAACAUGAACAGGCUUUGUCUGACCUAUUCUAUGACAUCUAUCCAUGGCCUGUAAAUCCAUCUGGGGGUUCUAGAGUACAAAGAAUUUCUUAAGCAAUAUAUACUUGAGAUAAGUCAAACACAAUAAAGUAAAUAGAUAAAAUGACAAAAGUACCCAGUCACUGUCAUAAAGAAUGCAAGUGUCAGCAGCAGUGAGGUUAAUUCCCAAUCCACCAGCCCUAGUAGAGAGAAGAAAGAUCCUGUAUUUGCUGUUUGGAUCAUCGAAGUUCUCAAUCUGUUCAUGGCAAAAGAGUUACCAAUCAUCAAAUCUUCAGUUCAGCCAUCAUUAAUGGUUAAGAUCAACGGUUUAACACAGAACAGCUACGAUCUCUGUAGAAGUGUAUUACAGAUUUGUAGUGCGUGUAAAAAUGGACAGAUGAAAGGUGAUAUUUUAAAGUACAGCAUAAAACUUCUUCAUCAGUGGUUGCUUAAAAUUCACGAUACAAACCAAGCAAUAAGUGGAUUCAAAAAACCUAAAAAUCAAACAUUAAAUAAAAAUAAUAGAAAAAAAAUUAAAUUGUGAUAAAAAAUUUCAUGGAUUGGCAGUUUGACACAAACCUGCCGUUUCCUGUCAUCCAGUUUCACACUACCAUCAAUCCUGCAAACUUCAAAGCCCUUCUCGCUAAAAUAAUAGUCCAUUAAAUCUAACACCUUAGUCCACUGACUGAAAAUCAGAACCUGAUAGUAAUUAGAAAAUGCAAAUUAGGAACAAAAAAAAGAAAGUGGAAACUGUAAAGACAAACACAGCACUGGAUAGAAUACUUUGUGCUUCCGUGCAAACAACUGUUCCAACAACCGCUUGAGCAAAUGGAAUUUUCCGCAUUGGUCAACUAUCUCAUUUAUAGGAGGAUACAAAUCUAUCAAGAAAGAAUGAUAUAGAUUAGUUGAGAAUCAUAGAACACCAAACCAGUAAAACAAUUCAACUGCAAGGCACUUACAAGAACCAUCAAAGGCUGACUCUAAAAGGUCAGGAUGAUUGCAGACCUUCCUAAGUUGAAGACACAAAUUUUUAAUUGAUUUGGUGGCACGCCCUGCAAUAAAGCAGUGACUGCAAGUGUCAGACAAGACUUCGUAGAAGACAAAUAAACCAAAAGAUUGACUGUAUUCCAAGACAGCAACACAUAACUGAAGGUAUAUGAAUUGCAAGAAACCCUUUUUUCUGUUUUCAUAGGAAAAACAGAAAACGAAUCUUACCAGUUGAUGAUUUUUCUUCUAAAUACUUCUCCAUUGUCUUAUUGAUUAAAUGAUCCUGCAAUUUCUUCUGAUGCUCAGUCAUGGUUGCAUAUAAAAUAAUUUCCUUCUUCCGUGGCAACAUCAGCUCAACAUCAGUCUUCAUCCUGCGCAGAAGAAAGGGUCGAAGUAUGGCAUGGAGCUUUGCUACUACCUACAUGAGAUAAGUACAUUUAGUCUUCUGGUUCAUAUAAGUCAGGGACAGGUGGAAUGGAUAACAAAAUAGGCAACUGUAGAAUGCAUACUUGGGCUCUUCUUUUCUCUUCAAGUUCUUCCUUGGUUGCUCCAUUAUUGCAUUUUCCUGACAGAUUAAACCUGCAAAAACAAGUAAAACUAAGCAAUCAAGGUACAGUGUUUACUUUUUUUUGGGUACAGUGUUUACUUUGGUAUCAAACAAACCAAAACCAAUGUCUUGAAAUGGCAUACAUACAACAUUCGUCAUCCCAUCACACAGAAAAAGCAUAAGAGCAACACAGCAAAGUCAAAAUUAAUAAAAGGGAUACCCAAUUAUUUGAAUUAGUGAGUAGAUCUAAACCAUUAGAUUUCCCUAGAAUUGGUGGUGGCUAAGAUGUGGAGUAAGUUUUUAAAAUUUACUCUUGGAGUAAGUAGAUCCCCCUCUCUUAAUAAAAUGGAUCAAAAUAAAAACAAAGCUAGCUUAUGUAGAAUUCAUGGAAAGGAGGCUAUGGGCCUACGGCAAAGGGAAAGUGCAAACAAACCCAACUAGCUCAAAUGCAAAGGAUAUUAAAGAUGAAGCAUACACCAUGAUACUCUUCAAUAUGCAAAAUGAUACUAAUACAGCUCAAAAAAAUAUAAAGCUCUAAUUUGUUCUCUACACCACUCAUCCAAGCAACCAUGACACAGAAAAACUCAUUUAAAAAGAAAAAACAACAUAUUUUUGGGGUUAUCUGUUUCAACAAUCUCAUUACAGAGUUAACACAUCAGUAGAGUGAUCAAUAGCCAAAAGAAACUAACCAUGACUCAAAUUCUUCAAGAGAUGAGAAAAUAUCAGGUAAAAGGAAGUUCAACAAUGACCAUAACUCCGCCAAGUUAUUCUGAAGAGGAGUCCCAGAUAGAAGAAGCUUAUUUUCUACAUUUAAGCAUUUCAAUGCCUUCACUAAUUUGCAUUUCGAGUUUUUGAGCCUGUGUCCCUUCAAGGAAAAAAAAUACAUCAAGUUAGAACAACGGAAGCAUGCAAACUCUUUUGAUUAUCUAAGUAUUUAUGAGUUAAGACAGGCAACAAAACGGAAAUAAACAUAAACAUUCAAAUAAGAAACAUUAUUUACCUCAUCAACAACAAGAUAUUUCCAAUUGUAUGACAUGAAACAUUUUCUAGCAUCACUUAAAGCAACCUCAUAAGAAGUGAUAACAAUGGGAAAUUUUGGGCCAACUUUUCUAGGCAUAAGUUUCCUUCGGAUUUCAUCUCUCUGUUUCUUGUCCCCGUGAUAGAUAACAGCAGGGAGUGAUGGAGCAAACCUAAUUACAUGUGUUAAAAAAAGUUGAAAAAUCAAAAGCAAGCCAUGUAAUUGAUAUAACUAACAAGAGCUUCUAAUGUUCACCAGUUAGAAAGCGAAAUUUAUAUACUAUUCUACUUUUUUCUUGUUUUUUAUUUGUUAGAAUCUCUUCUUAGCAUUUAGAAAUAUUUCGCAAAUCAAAACCAAGGAAAAAUAGAAUGGUGCAUAAACUCCAGUUUAUAACAGGUGAUAACCACAUUGCAAAAAAAUUGAACAUCAAACAUAAUGAUCUACCUAGAAAUCUCAUUCACCCAAUUUGAGAGGGUUGAUAAAGGAGCAAUUAUCAUGUAUGGCCCAUCCAGACCUUUCCCUUUUAAAUGUGCAAGAAAUCCAAUUGUUUGGAUUGUCUUCCCCAGACCCAUUUGAUCUGCAAGAAUCCCAUUCAAUCCAUUUUGCCACAAGGAAAUCAACCACUUGACACCCUUCAACUGAUAAGAUUUCAAUUUUCCACCGGUCAGUAAAGGCAUAAGCUCCUUCUGCUCUUUCGCAAUUCUGUCCUCCUCACUCAUGUUCAUAUCUUCAGUCUUCACACUUUCUUUAGAUCUUGUGAGCAUGGCAGCAACUGCCCUUUUGGCCUUCCCCUAAGGUAAAUUCAAAUAUGACGGCAUAUUAUUGACUAAAUAAUCUCAAACUAUAUGCAAGUAUUCUAAAUCAAUAAUAGAACAUAAAAAGAAAAAAAUGACCAUGUCUAAACCUUACUUUGAAAGAAAAAUGAUAGGGGGGAAAACCCUGUAACUGUAGUAAUGCACUUAAUAACAAUAGUUACACAAGAUUUGACCAACUUGUUUUUUUAGUCACAAAAUGAUGACAACGUGAUCCGUGAUGUCUCAAGCUGUACAUCUUCCACUAGUAGUCCUAAAAAAUAGGCUGGUCUAAGCUAUCACUGUUUUUUUACUUCAUAUAUAAAUAAUCAGAUACACACUGACCUCGUAAAAAAAAGUAUGCAUCAAAUUUAUGCCAGGGAACAUUUUACUCACAGUAUUGCAUUGUGAAGCUGCUUUUCUUUUACGGCCUUUCUUCUUUGUAGCUGGCUCACUCUCUUGCUCAUCUCCAUUCUCUUUUUCACCCCCAUUCUAGCAACAAAAAAUCAAACAAUAAGAACUCGGAACAAAAAUAAUAAAAUGACACACGUAAAUAGUUAAUGACAAUACAAGUGUGAUGUCGUCCAUUUUCUCCAGCAGAAACUCAGAGUAGAGUUUAGUCUGUGUUAAAAGCUCAUCCAAUUUAUUAAACUGAGUCUCAUUGAGGUCGGGUGCUUCCUCACACUGUUCCUCUUCUUCCUUUGCCCGUUCUUUGAUCAAUUUCUCUUCCUCCUCAGCAAUUGAUUUUGGUAAAAGCAAGGAUCCAUCAUCUAUAAUAUCUAAAAGCACCUCUUCUUCAGCCUUAAUCUCAACCUCCGCACCACAAGCGUCCUUUAAAUAUAGGAUAACCACAAAAUAAAUACGAUAUAAACACGAAUAACAAAAGCUUCAUUAUAAAUUUUAAGACCAAACGAAUUCAGAUAUUUCUUCACUUCGUUAAAAUUAAGUGUGCAUUUACGACUUUAUUUUGCAAUAUUACAUUAUGUGUGAGUUUGUGACAAAUGCUGAAAAAUACAACUAUUUGAACAAGCAUGAACUUUAAUAAUUUUUCAUUUUGGAUCGGCGAAAACCGUAAGCAUGAGCAAAUGCUUUACUAAAACUUUUACCCGCCAAACGAGUCACAUUUCUUUAAAAUCAACUUUAAUCAUGUACGAGUGUGAAGUUUAUUGAAAUAAACGGCUAUUCGAAACGGUAAAUAACUGUAGGUUUUUUGAACAAUGGAAAGUGAAAACAUGAACUGAGAAAUGAAAACAUAAAAACGAACCUCGUCUCCGAGAACCGAAGUCGGUGAAUCAACGGGCUCUUCGUUCUUCAUUGCAUCCAUUUCAAUCUCAAACCCUAAAACCAGUUACAACAAAAACCACAAUGAACAAAAGUUAUAGAACUGAAAUGAAACAAAUAAAUAAAUAAACAUUAGUGGUACCAAAUCUGGCAGAGGGAGGGGUAGAACGGGAAAGAGAAAAUUUGGAAUUUGAAGCGAUGAGAUAUUUCAAAACAAGCGUCGAUGUGAGAGAGUAAGUGGUGGGUGAAUGGAGCAAAAGCUAAUUAAAAUAGGAGUUUAGAAAAAAAAAAUCCUGGUUUUCAUUACGUGGGCAUUGGUUUGGGCGGGAAAAUUCAUUUAAAUAUUACCCCUGGAUUGUUAAGUUAUUUACAAAUAAAACUAUAUGCUAGGGUAAGGUCAUUUUUUGACAGUGUUAAUUCUGUAGUGCUGUGGGCUCCAAGAUUAUGUGUGAUAUGACGCGUGCUUAUUGGCCUCAUUUUGGUCUGCUAGGUUUCCAUUACCUUGAACACCUCAACUUUUUCCAAUAAAGUUGUAAGCAUUUUGAGUUUCAAAAUAUAAGACAAUAUAAUAAGACAUUUUGAAUCCUCCCACCUAGGUUUUGCAUACAAUACAUGCCAACUCAUGUUCUAAAAGUGUUUUUGCAUCAUUCAUUAGGGAAAUAAGAACAAAUGUAGUAUUUCUCAUUCCUAAUUAAUGUUGUUCUUAAUGGAAUAAGAAUAUUAUUAUUCUGUUAUCUACUGUGUUAUCUUAUUUCUUCAUUUUAGUUCUUAAAUAAGAACAGUUCUUAGUCAAGGAAAGUAAGAAAAAUGUAAAUGUUGUGUGAAAAAGGUAAAUGUUGUGACAUCCAAAUAAGAAUAAGAAUGAUGUUUGUCAUUGUGAGAAAAAAGUAGAUGUUGUUCUUAUUUUAUGAGAAGUUGUAAUAAAUUAUAAAAUAAUGUAUGAGACCAAAAUAAAAAUGAAAAUUUUGUUUGGGGUUGUGGCUGGUCUAACUUAUUGCUAUUAUCAUUUUUGUCUUUAUUCCUUUGAAAAAUUUAGGUGGAAUAAUAAAUAAAAAUUAGGUGGACUUUUUUAAUGAUCAAGUGAGAUUUUGACCGUAACAAAGUCCUUAAGUGUAUUGUCAAUUUCUUGAGCAUAAGUAGUUACAUGCAAAUUUUAUCAUUUUCAAAUAUAAAAUAAUUAUUUGUAUCUUAAAUUAGGCUUUAUACGCAAUUUUUGCCUAACACACCAAAACCUCUACACAUGUAAUGUGAAAAACAAACUCAAUACCAACAAAUCCCAAAAAGAUUAGUUUUUUACCUAAAUAAGUGAGAAAUAUCAUUAGUAAUAUAAAAAAACAAAUUCAAUAUAUGCAUUUCCAUGAUGAUAAAAGUAAUAGUUAUAUCCAUGAUUCCAUUUUGUAUAAACAUGCCAUAGUACACAAUAACCAUAUACAAAAUAUAAAGUAGUUUACAAAUGAAGCAACGUAUCCAUUGAUUGGCAUCUUGUUAACUUGCACUUCAAACACAGCAGGGAAGAAAAGCUUGAAGCUAAAUUCUCUGCCAUAUGAGAUCUCACUCCCCAUACCAAUGAAAAUCAGACAAAACCAGCAAUUUGAGAAUGGCUACUGUCAUUAGUUCAGCCUCCUUGGGGUUUCUUGAAUUCGACUCAUUUCGGCGCUAGAGCCACUGCUAGUGCCUGCCUCGCCCGAAUACACCAUAUGUCGCAUCUUUUGCAUAUCAUGAUUGUAUUGCAUUGUAUCAUAUGGCAUAUCUGAGCUAGAUGAAGAGGUUGUUUGAACAUUUGUAAUCCCUGUCUUCAUCAUCCCCUCCUUCAAGUCGUCUAGUGAGACAUCUCCUUCUAACGCUCUCACGAUCUGUACAUGAGUCAUCAAUCAUAGUUUAAGAAAAUACAAAUAGGCAUCAUUAUUUUCAAAAUGUACAUGUAACAGCUAAUAUUUCAUUCUAUACUACAAAUAAUCUUAAUAUUUAGCAUUGAGUCAGUUGUUAAAAUAAUUAUUUUUUAUCUUAACAUGUAUACAUACCUGGCUCAUUUUUAGGCGCUUUCUGGCAGAGUGGCGAAUGCUGCCAGCAGCACAAGCAGCCAUCCUUGACAUUUCAUGAGGA